Molecule: ribosomal RNA, 467 nt
Filed under: uncultured bacterium
Lineage: Bacteria
Description: partial 16S ribosomal RNA
Rfam family: Bacterial small subunit ribosomal RNA
Source: RNAcentral
ACGAACGCUGGCGGCGUGCUUAACACAUGCAAGUCGAACGGAAAGGCCCUGCUUUUGUGGGGUGCUCGAGUGGCGAACGGGUGAGUAACACGUGAGUAGCCUGCCCUUGACUUUGGGAUAACUUCAGGAAACUGGGGCUAAUACCGGAUAGGAGCUCCUGCUGCAUGGUGGGGGUUGGAAAGUUUCGGCGGUUGGGGAUGGACUCGCGGCUUAUCAGCUUGUUGGUGGGGUAGUGGCUUACCAAGGCUUUGACGGGUAGCCGGCCUGAGAGGGUGACAGGCCACAUUGGGACUGAGAUACGGCCCAGACUCCUACGGGAGGCAGCAGUGGGGAAUAUUGCACAAUGGGCGGAAGCCUGAUGCAGCAACGCCGCGUGCGGGAUGACGGCCUUCGGGUUGUAAACCGCUUUCGCCUGUGACGAAGCGUGAGUGACGGUAAUGGGUAAAGAAGCACCGGCUAACUACGUG